GUGGGGAAUAUUGGACAAUGGGCGCAAGCCUGAUCCAGCCAUACCGCGUGAGUGAAGAAGGCCCUCGGGUUGUAAAGCUCUUUUGUUGGGAAAGAAAUCCUGUUGGUUAAUACCUGGCAGGGAUGACGGUACCCAAAGAAUAAGCACCGGCUAACUUCGUGCCAGCAGCCGCGGUAAUACGAAGGGUGCAAGCGUUACUCGGAAUUACUGGGCGUAAAGCGUGCGUAGGUGGUUGUUUAAGUCUGUCGUGAAAGCCCUGGGCUCAACCUGGGAAUUGCGAUGGAUACUGGGCGACUAGAAUGUGGUAGAGGGUGGCGGAAUUCCCGGUGUAGCAGUGAAAUGCGUAGAGAUCGGGAGGAACAUCCGUGGCGAAGGCGGCCACCUGGACCAACAUUGACACUGAGGCACGAAAGCGUGGGGAGCAAACAGGAUUAGAUACCCUAGUAGUCC
This 450-nucleotide ribosomal RNA is filed under the name uncultured bacterium. RNAcentral describes it as "bacterial SSU rRNA". It matches the Rfam family "Bacterial small subunit ribosomal RNA", at positions 354 to 796 of the family's 1533-position model. The record is from RNAcentral.